Molecule: ribosomal RNA, 492 nt
Filed under: uncultured bacterium
Lineage: Bacteria
Description: partial 16S ribosomal RNA
Rfam family: Bacterial small subunit ribosomal RNA
Source: RNAcentral
AGUGAACGCUGGCGGUAGGCCUAACACAUGCAAGUCGAACGGCAGCACAGUAAGAGCUUGCUCUUACGGGUGGCGAGUGGCGGACGGGUGAGGAAUACAUCGGAAUCUACUUUUUCGUGGGGGAUAACGUAGGGAAACUUACGCUAAUACCGCAUACGACCUACGGGUGAAAGCAGGGGAUCUUCGGACCUUGCGCGAUUGAAUGAGCCGAUGUCGGAUUAGCUAGUUGGCGGGGUAAAGGCCCACCAAGGCGACGAUCCGUAGCUGGUCUGAGAGGAUGGUCAGCCACAAGGGAACUGGGACACGGUCCAGACUCCUACGGGAGGCAGCAGUGGGGAAUAUUGGACAAUGGGCGCAAGCCUGAUCCAGCCAUACCGCGUGGGUGGAGAAAGCCUUCGGGUUGUAAAGCCCUUUUGUUGGGAAAGAAAAGCAGCAGGUUAAUACCCCGCUGUUCUGACGGUACCCAAAGAAUAAGCACCGGCUAACUUCGUG